This 217-nucleotide unclassified non-coding RNA is filed under the name plant metagenome. Its description in RNAcentral is "partial contains small subunit ribosomal RNA and internal transcribed spacer 1". The stretch from base 1 to 47 matches the Rfam family "Eukaryotic small subunit ribosomal RNA", at positions 1785 to 1831 of the family's 1831-position model. The record is from RNAcentral.
AAUGUCGUAACAAGGUUUCCGUAGGUGAACCUGCGGAAGGAUCAUUAAAGAAUGCCCCCGUUUUUUUGAAAUGGGUUCUAUUCCCAAAGCCGUGUAUACAUACCUUUGUUGCUUUGGCAGGCCGCCUUCGGGCGUCGGCUCACGCGACCGCGCCCGGCCAGAGAACCCAAACUCGUUUGUUUAGUGAUGUCUGAGUAUUAUAAAAUUUUUUCAAAAG